Molecule: small nuclear RNA, 300 nt
Filed under: Chinchilla lanigera (long-tailed chinchilla)
Lineage: Eukaryota; Metazoa; Chordata; Mammalia; Rodentia; Chinchillidae
Description: 7SK RNA (ENSCLAG00000021840.1)
Rfam family: 7SK RNA
About the family: 7SK was discovered as an abundant small nuclear RNA in the mid-70s but a possible function has only recently been suggested. Two independent studies have found that 7SK RNA binds the CDK9/cyclin T complex (known as elongation factor P-TEFb). P-TEFb activates transcription by phosphorylating the C-terminal domain of RNA polymerase II.
Source: Rfam by way of RNAcentral
GGAUGUGAGAGCAAUCUGGCUGCGACAGCUGUCACCCUGCUGACUGCCAGGGUUGGUUUGGCUGAUCUGGCUGGCUAGGCGGGUGUCUCCAUCCUCCCUCACCGCUCCAUGUGUGUCCCUCCUGAAGCUGUGCACUCAGUCAAAGAGGACAACCGCCCCCCACUUCCUCAGUCAGGGAUAUGAGCAGCUGCUCUCCCUUGCUAGAACUUCCAAACAAGCUCUCAAGAAUAUAUGAGAAGUCUAUGUAGGUAAAAAUGGCUAAAUGUCCAGCACAAAAAGCUCCGAAGUCAGAAUAGAGCU